GUCUUUAAAAGCUAUAAGAAAUGCUAGAACUCAUUCAUUCUCAACCCUCUUCUCCAUGAAGGAUUAAAUUCCAUGGAAGAAUCUUUGCAUCAUCAGUAACUAAGAUGAGAACAUUGACAGGCUGCUGAUAGUAUUCCCAGAUGACAUCACCGACACACUAGAUGAUGAAGCAGAAUCCAGUAAUUCAGUUUAACAACUAUUUACUGGUCACCAAGGAGGAGUCAGAGUAGGCUCUGACAAGUGGAACUGCUGCAAAGUUCAUUAAUAAUGUGGAAUAAAUCAAUUGUUCAGGAAAUACUGAAAACAGAUGACACUGAACUCGUACAUUUUGCAAGUUCAGCACAAAUCCAUCUCCAGCAAGGACACAGAAUCUCCCCAUGUCCUUUUCUGACCUACCCAUGGAACCUGGUCUCCAAUCCUCCUUUCUUCAAGCAUUCCAUGGCUGUACAGCUACCCAAACCCCUGGGAGCACAGGGGGCCAAUGGUCACUCAAAAGGAAAUAGCCUCAGGCCAGAGAAGAAAGAACACGGAGGCUUUUCCAAGAUUUACAAACAUGAAGGUCAGCUACUUCCAGGAUGUGAAGAGUUCCUUACUAUAGGUGUUGGACACUGGCUACAGCAGCUUCAGAAGAUGUCAAGAGGGAUCCCUGGGUGGCGUAGCGGUUUGGCGCCUGCCUUUGGCCCAGGGCGCAAUCCUGGAGACCUGGGAUUGAAUCCCACGUCGGGCUCCCGGUGCAUGGAGCCUGCUUCUCCCUCUGCCUCUGUCUCUGCCUCUCUCUCUCUCUCUGUCUCUCUCUGUGAUUUUCAUAAAUAAAUAAUAAUUUUAAAAAAUUUUAAAAAUUGUA
RNAcentral lists this long non-coding RNA (844 nucleotides) under Vulpes vulpes (red fox). RNAcentral describes it as "lncRNA (ENSVVUG00000015650.1)". The record is from RNAcentral. Lineage: Eukaryota; Metazoa; Chordata; Mammalia; Carnivora; Canidae.